Molecule: ribosomal RNA, 1456 nt
Filed under: uncultured organism
Description: SSU rRNA
Rfam family: Bacterial small subunit ribosomal RNA
Source: RNAcentral
UGGCGGCGUGCCUAAUACAUGCAAGUAGAACGCUGAAGAGAGGAGCUUGCUCUUCUUGGAUGAGUUGCGAACGGGUGAGUAACGCGUAGGUAACCUGCCUUGUAGCGGGGGAUAACUAUUGGAAACGAUAGCUAAUACCGCAUAACAAUGGAUGACACAUGUCAUUUAUUUGAAAGGGGCAAAUGCUCCACUACAAGAUGGACCUGCGUUGUAUUAGCUAGUAGGUGAGGUAACGGCUCACCUAGGCGACGAUACAUAGCCGACCUGAGAGGGUGAUCGGCCACACUGGGACUGAGACACGGCCCAGACUCCUACGGGAGGCAGCAGUAGGGAAUCUUCGGCAAUGGGGGCAACCCUGACCGAGCAACGCCGCGUGAGUGAAGAAGGUUUUCGGAUCGUAAAGCUCUGUUGUAAGUCAAGAACAAGUGUGAGAGUGGAAAGUUCACACUGUGACGGUAGCUUACCAGAAAGGGACGGCUAACUACGUGCCAGCAGCCGCGGUAAUACGUAGGUCCCGAGCGUUGUCCGGAUUUAUUGGGCGUAAAGCGAGCGCAGGCGGUUUGAUAAGUCUGAAGUUAAAGGCUGUGGCUCAACCAUAGUUCGCUUUGGAAACUGUCAAACUUGAGUGCAGAAGGGGAGAGUGGAAUUCCAUGUGUAGCGGUGAAAUGCGUAGAUAUAUGGAGGAACACCGGUGGCGAAAGCGGCUCUCUGGUCUGUAACUGACGCUGAGGCUCGAAAGCGUGGGGAGCGAACAGGAUUAGAUACCCUGGUAGUCCACGCCGUAAACGAUGAGUGCUAGGUGUUGGAUCCUUUCCGGGAUUCAGUGCCGCAGCUAACGCAUUAAGCACUCCGCCUGGGGAGUACGACCGCAAGGUUGAAACUCAAAGGAAUUGACGGGGGCCCGCACAAGCGGUGGAGCAUGUGGUUUAAUUCGAAGCAACGCGAAGAACCUUACCAGGUCUUGACAUCCCGAUGCUAUUUCUAGAGAUAGAAAGUUACUUCGGUACAUCGGUGACAGGUGGUGCAUGGUUGUCGUCAGCUCGUGUCGUGAGAUGUUGGGUUAAGUCCCGCAACGAGCGCAACCCCUAUUGUUAGUUGCCAUCAUUCAGUUGGGCACUCUAGCGAGACUGCCGGUAAUAAACCGGAGGAAGGUGGGGAUGACGUCAAAUCAUCAUGCCCCUUAUGACCUGGGCUACACACGUGCUACAAUGGUUGGUACAACGAGUUGCGAGUCGGUGACGGCAAGCUAAUCUCUUAAAGCCAAUCUCAGUUCGGAUUGUAGGCUGCAACUCGCCUACAUGAAGUCGGAAUCGCUAGUAAUCGCGGAUCAGCACGCCGCGGUGAAUACGUUCCCGGGCCUUGUACACACCGCCCGUCACACCACGAGAGUUUGUAACACCCGAAGUCGGUGAGGUAACCUAUUGGAGCCAGCCGCCUAAGGUGGGAUAGAUGAUUG